RNAcentral lists this ribosomal RNA (482 nucleotides) under uncultured bacterium. RNAcentral describes it as "bacterial SSU rRNA". It matches the Rfam family "Bacterial small subunit ribosomal RNA", at positions 28 to 531 of the family's 1533-position model. The record is from RNAcentral.
GACGAACGCUGGCGGCGUGCCUAACACAUGCAAGUCGAACGAUCCCCUCCGGGGGAUAGUGGCGGACGGGUGAGUAACGCGUGAACAAUCUGCCCUGUACAGCGGAAUAGCCUCGGGAAACCGGGAUUAAAACCGCAUAACACUUCAGUAUCGCAUGAUACAAAAGUCAAAUUGAUUAAGAGGUAUAGGAUGAGUUCGCGUCUGAUUAGCUAGUUGGUGAGGUAAAGGCCUACCAAGGCGACGAUCAGUAGCCGGCCUGAGAGGGUGAACGGCCACACUGGAACUGAGACACGGUCCAGACUCCUACGGGAGGCAGCAGUGGGGAAUAUUGCACAAUGGAGGGAACUCUGAUGCAGCGACGCCGCGUGAGUGAAGAAGGUCUUCGGAUCGUAAAACUCUGUCCUUGGUGAAGAUAAUGACGGUAACCAAGGAGGAAGCCCCGGCUAACUACGUGCCAGCAGCCGCGGUAAGCGAUACUCGUA